CCAGGAAUAUAAGGCAUCUGGUUUUCUACACCCUUCAGCUCAUCAUCGCCUUCCAGCUGUCAUUGUUUAAGUUCAGUGUGUUCCCUCUGAUACUGGGCUUCCCCUGGUCUAGUCUCAGCUUCAUCCUGAACACACUCAAGAUAUCCUGCCACUAUCUUGAAGUUCUUUUCUUUCAGCUUCUAAUCAGCCUUUCCUCCCCCAAGGCCAGUUCCUUUAGCUCCAUGUGAAGUUGUUCACCAGCAUCUUCAUUCAUUCGCUCUGAGAUCUCCAAACAGCAUUUGCAGCUCUAUCACUUGUCUUCAGGGAGAUUGAGCUGAGUGUCCAGCUGGCCUAAAACAGAGUCUGUGCCUCGCUCACCCACUGAUGAUCCACAACUGUUUGCCCCCACAGGAAGUCAGAAAGCCUCCAGUGAUUUUACUUUUUAGCUAAUGUUCUCCCUGGGGCUGUGUCAGACACUUCCCAAUCAGAGUGAUGCUGUUGGCACUUUCCACAGACAUCAACCAGGCUGGGAGAUGAAUGUGUGAAACACAUCCUGAUGGGGGUUGAUAAAUGGCUCCACUCUGAGUUAGUCCCUUCCUACUUCUCUCUUGGUUUGACCUGGCUGGGGGUAGUGAUUGAGCAAUAGGUUCCUGGAUGGUGAAACAGCCCAGUUUCAGGGGCUGGCUACAGUGCUGGCACACAAAGCUGGCCUGCAUGGUGCCACUGGGCAUCUCUAACUGUUCUAUCCCUCAGGAUCUGGAGCAAGACCUCCAGAACCACUCAGUCUUCAGCUACUUCCUGGUCUCCAGACAACAGUUAUGCACUUUUCAGUUCAGUUCAGUUCGGUUGCUCAGUUGUGUCCGACUCUUUGUGAUGAAUUGCAGUACGCCAGGCCUCCCUGUCCAUCACCAACUCCCAGAGUCCACCCAAACUCAAGUCCAUCGAGUUGGUGAUGCCAUCCAGCCAUCUCAUCCUCUGUUGUCCCCUUCUCCUCCUGCCCUCAAUCCCUCCCACCAUCAGGGUCUUUUCCAAUGAGUCAACUCUUCGCAUGAGGUGGCCAAAGUAUUGGAGUUUCAGCUUCAGCAUCAGUCCUUCCAAUAAACACCCAGGACUGAUCUCCUUUAGGACAGACUGGUUGGAUCUCCUUGCAGUCCAAGGGACUCUCAAGAGUCUCCUCCAACACUACAGUUCAAAAGCAUCAAUUCUUCGGCACUCAGCUUUCUUCACAGUCCAACUCUCACAUCCAUACAUGACCAAUGGAAAAACCAUAGCCUUGACUAGAUGGACCUUUAUUGGCAAAUGUCUC
This is a long non-coding RNA of Bos taurus (domestic cattle), 1285 nucleotides long. The record is from Ensembl. Lineage: Eukaryota; Metazoa; Chordata; Mammalia; Artiodactyla; Bovidae.